AGCAGCCGCGGUAAUUCCAGCUCCAAUAGCGUAUAUUAAAGUUGUUGCAGUUAAAAAGCUCGUAGUUGAAUUUCGGGAUUGGCGCAUCGGUCGUGCCUCACGGGGUAUGAACUGGUGCAGUCAAUUUCUCACCUUCUGGAGAACCGCGAUGUCCUUAAUUGGAUGCCGCGGGGAACCAGGACCUUUACUUUGAAAAAAUUAGAGUGUUUAAAGCAGGCAUUUUUGCUUGAAUACAUUAGCAUGGAAUAAUAAAAUAGGACGGCAUGGUUCUAUUUCUAUUUUGUUGGUUUCUAGGACCACCGUAAUGAUUAAUAGGGAUAGUUGGGGGCAUUAGUAUUCAAUUGUCAGAGGUGAAAUUCUUGGAUUUAUUGAAGACUAACUACUGCGAAAGCAUUUGCCAAGGAUGUUUUCAUUAAUCAAGAACGAAAGUUAGGGGAUCGAAGACGAUCAGAUACCGUCGUAGUCUUAACCAUAAACUAUGCCGACUAGGAAUCAGACGAUGUUAAUUUUUUAAUGACUCGUUUGGCACCUUACG
This 535-nucleotide ribosomal RNA is filed under the name uncultured Entrophospora. Its description in RNAcentral is "SSU rRNA". It matches the Rfam family "Eukaryotic small subunit ribosomal RNA", at positions 569 to 1092 of the family's 1831-position model. Lineage: Eukaryota; Fungi; Glomeromycota; Glomeromycetes; Entrophosporales; Entrophosporaceae. The record is from RNAcentral.